UACGAAGGGUGCAAGCGUUGUUCGGAUUUAUUGGGCGUAAAGCGCACGCAGGCGGAUUGGUAAGUCAGAUGUGAAAUCUCGGGGCUCAACCCCGAAACUGCGUCUGAAACUACUAAUCUAGAAUCUUGGAGAGGGAAGGGGAAUUUCUCAUGUAGGGGUAAAAUCCGUAGAGAUGAGAAGGAACACCAGAGGCGAAGGCGCCUUCCUGGACAAGUAUUGACGCUGAGGUGCGAAAGCGUGGGGAGCAAACAGG
This 253-nucleotide unclassified non-coding RNA is filed under the name uncultured Bacteriovoracaceae bacterium. Its description in RNAcentral is "contains 16S-23S intergenic spacer region". It matches the Rfam family "Bacterial small subunit ribosomal RNA", at positions 524 to 776 of the family's 1533-position model. Lineage: Bacteria; Pseudomonadati; Bdellovibrionota; Bacteriovoracia; Bacteriovoracales; Bacteriovoracaceae. The record is from RNAcentral.